Molecule: ribosomal RNA, 1257 nt
Filed under: Agrococcus jenensis
Lineage: Bacteria; Bacillati; Actinomycetota; Actinomycetes; Micrococcales; Microbacteriaceae
Description: bacterial SSU rRNA
Rfam family: Bacterial small subunit ribosomal RNA
Source: RNAcentral
UGAGUACACGUGAGCAAUGUGCCCUUGACUCUGGAAUAAGCGCUGGAAACGGCGUCUAAUACCGGAUACGACCUUCGGAGGCAUCUCCUGGGGGUGGAAAGAACUUCGGUCAAGGAUCAGCUCACGGCCUAUCAGUUAGUUGGUGAGGUAAUGGCUCACCAAGACGACGACGGGUAGCCGGCCUGAGAGGGUGACCGGCCACACUGGGACUGAGACACGGCCCAGACUCCUACGGGAGGCAGCAGUGGGGAAUAUUGCACAAUGGGCGCAAGCCUGAUGCAGCAACGCCGCGUGAGGGACGACGGCCUUCGGGUUGUAAACCUCUUUUAGCAGGGAAGAAGCGAAAGUGACGGUACCUGCAGAAAAAGCACCGGCUAACUACGUGCCAGCAGCCGCGGUAAUACGUAGGGUGCAAGCGUUGUCCGGAAUUAUUGGGCGUAAAGAGCUCGUAGGCGGUUUGUCACGUCUGCUGUGAAAUCCCGAGGCUCAACCUCGGGCUUGCAGUGGGUACGGGCAGACUAGAGUGCGGUAGGGGAGAUUGGAAUUCCUGGUGUAGCGGUGGAAUGCGCAGAUAUCAGGAGGAACACCGAUGGCGAAGGCAGAUCUCUGGGCCGUAACUGACGCUGAGGAGCGAAAGCAUGGGGAGCAAACAGGCUUAGAUACCCUGGUAGUCCAUGCCGUAAACGUUGGGAACUAGAUGUGGGGACCAUUCCACGGUCUCCGUGUCGUAGCUAACGCAUUAAGUUCCCCGCCUGGGGAGUACGGCCGCAAGGCUAAAACUCAAAGGAAUUGACGGGGGCCCGCACAAGCGGCGGAGCAUGCGGAUUAAUUCGAUGCAACGCGAAGAACCUUACCAAGGCUUGACAUAUACGAGAACGCACUGAAGACAGUGAACUCUUUGGACACUCGUAUACAGGUGGGGGCAUGGGUUGCCGUCCAGCUCCGUGCCGGGAGAAUGUUGGGGUUAAAGUCCCCGCAACGAGCGCAACCCUCUUCCUAUGUUGACAGCACGUAAUGGUGGGAACUCAUGUGAUACUGCCGGGGUCAACUCGGAGGAAGGUGGGGAUGAGGUCAAAUCAUGCAUGCACUCCUUAUGAUCUGUGGGCUUCAGCGCAUGCGUACAAUGGCCGGUAUCAAUGGGCUGCAAGUCACGCAGUGAAGAGUGGAGCCGAAUACCAAAAAGCCGGUGCUCAGUUGAGGUAUUGAGGUCUGCAACUCGACCUCAUGAAGUCGGAGUCGUGUAGUAAUCGUAGAUCA